AUGCAUUGUGGGAGCGCGGCGCCAUUUUCGGGCUCUACGAAUAAAAAGAGACACUGUGUUGGAACGAAGACGACAAGAAUCAUGCUUAAAAGCAGCUCCAAAGAAAACGGACGGUAUAGAGACCGAUUGCGUCCAGAGGCGAAGCAGCGGUACUUGAAAAAAAUAGAGUGCAACGCAAAUCUGGACCCAUAUGAAAUACGGCAGUGGAGUAAAGACCCAGACGACUUACCGCCACUGUCCUACCCAGAUAUCUUCACCUAUCUUGUUUGUGGAGUAAGCGCCUACACAGCGAACCAGUUUCGUAAUUACAAGUCACUGGAGGCGCACAUACAAUUUACAAACGGCUGGGUGCAAGAUUUGGCUAUUUUCAAGCCGCCAAACUGCGAGUACGUCGUGAUUCAUACCAAGGUACUGCACUCCCAAAGAUUGAAUGAACCUGCAUUACGGCCAUGGGUAAUUGUAAGCACCACGGGGAAGGUCGAAGCCGCACACUGCACCUGUAUGGCCGGAGUUGCAGAGACCUGCACCCAUGUCGCUGCACUGCUGUUUAAAGUGGAGGCAACAGUGAGGAUCCGUGGCACAAAGACUGUCACAGAUGAAUCAGCCUACUGGGUUUUGCCGGGGAACACAACCAAGAUACUGCCAGCGGCUGGCCAUAACAUUGACUAUACAUCUUCAGCAGCACAAAAAAAGACUCUUGAUGAAAAUAUAAACAGACCGUCUGUGGUGAAAGGCAGAAGAAGCCGUCCUUCAAAAAGAAAGAUUCCUUCUUCUACGUUUGAGGAGUUGUCACCAGUGUUAGACACACUUCAAAAACACAAUAAAGCAGUGUGUUUGUCUGGAUUGGAGAAAUACUACACAUCACACACUGUCAAGUCAUCCACAUUACCACUGUCUCUGGCGUGUUUGCAAAACACAGGAGCAGAGUCCCUUGGCCUUACCGAGCUACAACUGCACUGUGUAAAGUACGAAAACGCAGCAAAAGUUACUGAAGAACAGGCAGAAGCUAUUGAGGUACACACAAGACUACAACACAAGAACCCAGAAUGGUAUGUUUGGCGUGCUGGGAGAAUCACGGCUUCAAUGAUGCACGCUGUGUGUGCCACCACUGUAGAAAAACCCGCCAUUACUGUGGAAUACCCGCCUACACCCAGAAAAUGUCAGCGUGUCACAAAAACCUACAGGUCCGUAUGUGUGGUUUUCUUGUUAACACGGCUUUUCCUGAAGUAG
RNAcentral lists this long non-coding RNA (1230 nucleotides) under Oreochromis niloticus (Nile tilapia). Its description in RNAcentral is "lncRNA (ENSONIG00000035672.1)". The record is from RNAcentral. Lineage: Eukaryota; Metazoa; Chordata; Actinopteri; Cichliformes; Cichlidae.